GUGGGGAAUAUUGGGCAAUGGGCGAAAGCCUGACCCAGCAACGCCGCGUGAAGGAAGAAGGUCUUCGGAUUGUAAACUUCUGUCAUUGGGGACGAAGGAAGUGACGGUACCCGAUGAGGAAGCCCCGGCUAACUACGUGCCAGCAGCCGCGGUAAUACGUAGGGGGCGAGCGUUGUCCGGAAUUACUGGGCGUAAAGGGUGCGUAGGCGGCGAUGCAAGUCCAUUGUGAAAAGCCCGGGCUUAACCUGGGAGGUGCAGUGGAAACUGUAUGGCUUGAGUGCAGGAGAGGAAAGUGGAAUUCCUAGUGUAGCGGUGAAAUGCGUAGAUAUUAGGAGGAACACCAGUGGCGAAGGCGGCUUUCUGGACUGUAACUGACGCUGAGGCACGAAAGCGUGGGGAGCAAACAGGAUUAGAAACCCCGGUAGUCC
This 428-nucleotide ribosomal RNA is filed under the name uncultured bacterium. RNAcentral describes it as "partial 16S ribosomal RNA". It matches the Rfam family "Bacterial small subunit ribosomal RNA", at positions 354 to 796 of the family's 1533-position model. The record is from RNAcentral.